This 416-nucleotide ribosomal RNA is filed under the name uncultured bacterium. RNAcentral describes it as "bacterial SSU rRNA". It matches the Rfam family "Bacterial small subunit ribosomal RNA", at positions 355 to 787 of the family's 1533-position model. The record is from RNAcentral.
UCGGGAAUAUUGCGCAAUGGAGGAAACUCUGACGCAGUGACGCCGCGUGCAGGAAGAAGGUUUUCGGAUUGUAAACUGCUUUAGACAGGGAAGAACAAAGACAGUACCUGUAGAAUAAGCUCCGGCUAACUACGUGCCAGCAGCCGCGGUAAUACGUAGGGAGCAAGCGUUAUCCGGAUUUAUUGGGUGUAAAGGGUGCGUAGACGGAGAAGCAAGUUAGUUGUGAAAUCCCUCGGCUUAACUGAGGAACUGCAACUAAAACUACUUCCCUUGAGUGCUGGAGAGGAAAGUGGAAUUCCUAGUGUAGCGGUGAAAUGCGUAGAUAUUAGGAGGAACACCAGUGGCGAAGGCGACUUUCUGGACAGUAACUGACGUUGAGGCACGAAAGUGUGGGGAGCAAACAGGAUUAGAUACCC